GAUGAACGCUGGCGGCGUGCCUAAUACAUGCAAGUCGAGCGAACAGACGAGGAGCUUGCUCCUCUGACGUUAGCGGCGGACGGGUGAGUAACACGUGGAUAACCUACCUAUAAGACUGGGAUAACUUCGGGAAACCGGAGCUAAUACCGGAUAAUAUAUUGAACCGCAUGGUUCAAUAGUGAAAGACGGUUUUGCUGUCACUUAUAGAUGGAUCCGCGCCGCAUUAGCUAGUUGGUAAGGUAACGGCUUACCAAGGCGACGAUGCGUAGCCGACCUGAGAGGGUGAUCGGCCACACUGGAACUGAGACACGGUCCAGACUCCUACGGGAGGCAGCAGUAGGGAAUCUUCCGCAAUGGGCGAAAGCCUGACGGAGCAACGCCGCGUGAGUGAUGAAGGUCUUCGGAUCGUAAAACUCUGUUAUUAGGGAAGAACAAAUGUGUAAGUAACUAUGCACGUGUUGACGGUACCUAAUCAGAAAGCCACGGCUAACUACGUG
RNAcentral lists this ribosomal RNA (497 nucleotides) under uncultured bacterium. RNAcentral's name for it is "partial 16S ribosomal RNA". It matches the Rfam family "Bacterial small subunit ribosomal RNA", at positions 28 to 507 of the family's 1533-position model. The record is from RNAcentral.